GUCUAUAGUCAUACCAGUUUGACUAUGCUCCAUCUCCAUCUGAUCUUAGAAGUUAAGCAAGGGUUGACCUGCUUAGUACUUGAAUGGGAAAUUGCUUGGGAAUACUGUACUGUAGAGU
Molecule: ribosomal RNA, 118 nt
Filed under: Mus pahari (shrew mouse)
Lineage: Eukaryota; Metazoa; Chordata; Mammalia; Rodentia; Muridae
Source: RNAcentral